GACUUGUAUAAGUCCCUACCGUAGACAGCAGGUGCCGUAAGGCAUAAGUCAGUACGCCUGCCGAGGAGAAUUUUAAGCACAUGACUUUUUAAUGUCUCCCGGUCUGCGGGAGGCAUUUUUUAUAUUAAUUC
This is a regulatory RNA element of 131 nucleotides. It matches the Rfam family "Ribosomal protein L10 leader". Rfam says of the family: This family is a putative r-protein leader autoregulatory structure found in B. subtilis and other low-GC Gram-positive bacteria. The record is from Rfam.